RNAcentral lists this long non-coding RNA (358 nucleotides) under Nicotiana benthamiana. Its description in RNAcentral is "long non-coding RNA (NBEN_LNC005615)". Lineage: Eukaryota; Viridiplantae; Streptophyta; Magnoliopsida; Solanales; Solanaceae. The record is from RNAcentral.
UGUGUGUGUGUAUAUUAUUCCUCUAAAACAGGGAUUAGAUUUGGAACCCUAAGAAUACACUCGAAAAGUUCGGCUGCUUUCUUAGAGAAGUUGAUUUACUUUUCCUUUGAUUUUAGAAAAUUUAAAGAGCUUCUUUGAGGAUUUCUGGGUUUUUCAUAAGUCAAAAUUGGUUUGAAGCUGAAAAUUUCUCUUCUGGGCUCUGUUUGUUGCUAUUCAUUGUUGUGUUUAUUUAAAGCUUGGUUGAGCUCCAGAUCUGGUUAUUUUGACCUCUCAUUUUGGUCUUCCAUACAAUAGUUGGAGCUUGGUUGAGCUCCAAUUAUUCUGCCUUUAUGUAUGUGGUUGUACCUCUAUACUUUAC